GUAGACAUGGAGUGCUUUAGAGAUAAGGUAUGAGAUAUUUGCAUAACCCUUGUUCUUUUCAACAAAGGCUGGCCAACAGACAAUCACUUUUUUUUCCCAUGGAUGUAACAUGCAAGUACUGGACAUAACUUGAAAACUAACAAAAAACUGUCCUGAGCUCCAACACCUGCUUAAAAUGAAGCCAUUUCUCUCAAUUUUCCAUGGCAAAGCCCAUGAAUGUAAACACAGAUGGACACAAAGCUUGUGCCAAGGCUCAUCGCAAGAUCAGAAAGGAGAAAACAUCUUAGCAUUGGCUUUAGAAGAUGUUGGUCACUUGAAGA
Non-coding RNA from Poecilia reticulata (guppy), 320 nucleotides. The record is from RefSeq and is a predicted model, not a curated record. Lineage: Eukaryota; Metazoa; Chordata; Actinopteri; Cyprinodontiformes; Poeciliidae.